AUUGGCAUUGUUUCUUCCUUAAAUGUUUGCUAAAAUUUGUCUUUUUCUUUUUCUUUCUUUAACUAUAUUUUUGCUGAAUUCCUUUUGAAGCUUUGCUAUUAGGCACAUACACAUGUAUUAAUAAUGAAGAGUUACUGUCCUGAUAAAAUGUCCCUCUUCGUCUCUGGGAGACUUCUUGUCUUGAUGUCUGUUUUGUCUGAUGAGUUCCAUCUAACUAGGGUUUCCAUGGUAGAUCUCUUUCUGUUCUCUUAUUUUUUACCUAUCUUUGUCUUUGUAUUUAAAUGUGGCUUUUGUAGACAGCAUAUAAUUGGGUCUUGCUGUUUUAUCCAGCUUUUCAUUGUGCCUUUCAGUGGGCAUGUUAGUCCAUUUACAUUUAAUGGAAGUACUUAUAUGGAUUUAGGCCUAUUACCACUUGUUUUCUGAUUUAUUUUUUGUUCCUCUGUUCCUCCUUUUCUGCCUUUUUUGGGCUAAUUGAAUAGUUUUUAGUAUCACAUUGUAAUUCCUCUGUUGGCUUUUUAGCUAUCCCUCUUUACAUUUGUAUGUGUGUGUGAUUACAACAUGGAGUUUUAACUUACCAUGGGCUGUUUCGAGUUAGUAUUAAACUGUGUAAAGUACAGGAAACUUAUAAAAGUGUAGCUCUAUUACCUCAUCCUUUGUGCUAUUUUUGUCAUAUACGUUUACAUCUAUAUACAUUAUAAACCUCACAAUGCCAACAUAAUUUUUGCUUUAAAUGGUUAUGUGUUUUUAAAAAAAUUAAAAGGAAAAAAAAUUUAUAUUUGCCAUUUUUGGUGUUCUUCAUUCCUCAGUAGGCCCAAGUCCAUUUGAUGUUUUUUUCCCUUUAGCGUAAAAAGAUUCCUUUAGUGUUUAUUGCAGGUCUGUUGGCAAAAAUUCAGUUAGAAUUUUAUUUAUAUGAAAAUGUUUUUGUUUUGCUUUCAUUUUUUAUAUCUAUAGAAUUUUGGGUUGACAGUGUUGCUGUUGUUUUGGUUUGGUUGAUUAUAAAUUAAUCGUUUUACAGGCAUUGUUUUCUGUUGUCUUUUGGCCUGACAUUUUUUCUAAUACAAAGUCAGCAUCAUCCAUAUGUUUCUGUAAUGAAGUGUCACUUGUUUCUCUGGCUGCUUACAAGAUGUUCUCUUCAUUUUUGGGUUCCAGCAGUUUGACCAUGCUGUGCAUAGGUAUGGUUUCUUGUUAUCUGCUUGGAGUUUGUUGAAUUUCUUAAAUCUGUACACUUAUGUUUUGUCACCAAAUUUGUAACUUCUUUUAUUAUUUUUUCAAAAAAUGUUUUGCCCCAUUCACUGUCAGUCCCAUGUUAAUCCCUAGGUUUUGGAGGCUCAGUUCAUUUUCCUUCAGCCUCUUUCCUCUUUGUCCUUUGAAUUAGAUCAUUUCCAUUGGCACAUACUUGAGUUUACUGACUGUUUUCCAUCUGCAGUCUCUGUUUGCUUGUGCAGUGAAUUUUUUGUUUUAGUUGUUAUGCCUCUUGGUUGCGUAAUUUCCCUUUGGUUCUUUAUAAUUUUGACUUCUCUUCCAAAAUUCUCCAUUUGUCCUCCACUGGAACUAAAUAACUCUAUCUUCCUUUAUGUUCUUGAGCAUGUUUAUAAUAGUUCUUCUUAAGGUCCCUGUGCUAAUUGCAACAUCCAGGUCAUCUCAUUUUUCCCUUUACUAUGGUCACAUCUUCUGUCUUUGUAUUUUAUGUCUAGUAAUUUUUUAUUGCAUAUUUAACAUUGAAGUAGAGACUUUGGAUUCUGUUACAUUUCUCUAAAAAAUAAUGAAUUCUGUUCUGGUGGGCAGUUAACUUGGCUGACCUCAACUCCAAAUUGUGUCUUCCCUAUAUUGGGCAGCAAAAUCUUUGCUCAGUUUUUUCAGUUUCAAGCUGCUGCUUUUUGCCAGGCCCCUGUGUGGUCCAGGGGUCAGCCGUGAUAUUGGGUAGGGAUUUAUACACCGGUUUGCGGGCUGAUCCUUUCUAGAACUCUGCUGUUUCUGGGAUUUCCCCCAGCCUCUGCAGUAGCCUUGAACUUUGUCUUCUGAUACCUCCAUCCUGUAAGACUGAACUGCAUAGAUCACUGAGGUACUCCCCUCAGGCGGAAAGCCACACAGGACAGCUCUCACCCACGGAGUUCCUGUUUCUCUAAGAGUUGACUCCUUUCCCAUUUCUGCCUGAUUUUGGUAGCUCUCCAGUCAUUCAAAUUAUUUUGUUUUGGUCCAGAUUUUAUAGUUGUGAUCUUAAGGAGAAUUAGUUUAGCCAAGCUGCUCUCAGUCUCCUAAAGCAAGAACUCUUAUCCUAUCAUCUGUUUUUUUGCAGUGAAUAAUACAACAUGCACAUCUUUCCACAUACUCAUGCAUUCUUCUACUACACUAUUUUUGAUACAGUGUUCCAUUCUGUAGGCAUGAUAUAAUUUAUUUACUCAUUCCCUAGAAUUUCACCUAUUCACAUUUUGCUGUUAUAAAUAAUGCUAUGAUGAACAUCCCUGUAGCUAUGUCCAUGGUUAUUUCCUUAGGAUAAAGUUGACAGAUUGCUGGGUCAGGUAUAUUGGAGUUUUUCCAAACUAUCUUUUAGUAUUAUUAUUACCUCUUAAUGUUUGUAUAUAAGGUUGUUUUUUAAUAGAAUUUACUUCUAGGUAAGUACCUUAUAUUUCAUUAUUUUUAUGUUGGCAUCUAAAUAUUAAACUGUUUCACAGGCUUAUAUCUCCCCAUCUGUAAAGCUUUGAAUUGAACCUAAAUCCUUUCUGGAUUUUCUGCAAUAUUUGUUUCAGAGUCCUGUUCGAUUUGAUACCUUUGAUAGCCUUUCACUAAGUAUUCCAGCUGCCACAUGGGGUCAUCCAUUGACCCUGGAUCACUGCCUUCACCACUUCAUCUCAUCAGAAUCUGUGCGGGAUGUUGUAUGUGACAACUGUACAAAGAUUGAAGCCAAAGGGACGUUGAAUGGGGAAAAGGUGGAACACCAGAGGACCACUUUUGUUAAACAGCUAAAACUAGGGAAGCUCCCUCAGUGUUUAUGCAUUCACCUCCAGCGGCUGAGCUGGUCCAGCCACGGCGCGCCCCUGAAGCGGCACGAGCACGUGCAGUUUAAUGAGUUCCUGAUGAUGG
Non-coding RNA from Manis javanica (Malayan pangolin), 3081 nucleotides. The record is from RefSeq and is a predicted model, not a curated record. NCBI's taxonomy places the organism in Eukaryota, Metazoa, Chordata, Mammalia, Pholidota, Manidae.